UAGUAUUUAUUCAUUUCACUUCUCCAAUUAGCCAAUUAGAGGUGUGAAGCAAAGUGAUAGCAUUUUGUUAAGUUGAUGAUUUUUAUUUUUUAGCUUGUCUGAAUAAAAGUUUAAUGUGACUCUUUUCGUGAGAAUUGAGUCGGGUAUGCGCAUAUCUUGACCUUUUCCUUUUUCUUUUUUUACCUUUUCUAUUAUUGGUGAAUUUGUAUACUAAUCCAAAUAUCACUGUUCUAGCUUAAAAUAUGGCUUAUCUAAUUAUUUAUAUAAUGUUGAUAUGACUGAUAACGGCUUUAAUUGUGCACUAUUGAAUUUGGUUUUAAGUGGUAACAACUUGAAUUGCUUUUGUUCCAAAUUAUGACCGUGUCUUAUUUUAUUUUCUUGUAUUUCAAUUGCUAAUGUUGUUUCCCUUUUAUUUUUAUGUAAAAUCCGCCCGAGUUCAUCGUGAACUCCCUCCUCCUCUCUUUGCAUGUCAUUUGGGCCACGAAGGCCUAAACUCCUUUAUCCCCGAGUCAGCCGACAAGCAAAUUUGAAGAACAAGUCCCUCAAAAUUUGACGAACAGGAAUUGGAAGUUGAUACAUCAAGAAUAUACAAUAAUAUACAUUAAGUGUAUAUGUUGUAUAUUGAGACAGAACGAGGCUCCCAAAAGCCUGUCUCUUUACCCCGACUUGUAUUUUGUUAUUUUGGGCCUAAGCCCCCCCUUUUGUCAUUAUUUAUUAUUAUCUUAUUAGUAUUUAGGACAGGUGGAAGACGGGCCUAAGGCCUAAAGAAAUAAUUUUCAUGUUAGUUUAGGACAGGUGCAGAUAACAAAAAAUUGGGCCAAAAGCCUAAAACGAAAAUGGGCUCGAGUGCUGGCCCAGGCGAACAGAAACCAGACUUGGGCCUCCAAGCCUCUUUCCCUCUUUAUCUUUUUUGUGUUUGUUUAUUUGCUAAUAUCUGUUAUUAAUCUUAAGGUUAAAAAAUUCAAAUCCCUGAAA
Molecule: long non-coding RNA, 975 nt
Filed under: Solanum tuberosum (potato)
Lineage: Eukaryota; Viridiplantae; Streptophyta; Magnoliopsida; Solanales; Solanaceae
Description: long non-coding RNA (STUB_LNC005937)
Source: RNAcentral